AAACCUCCAACUCACAACUUCUAACUUCUUCCACAUUUAAAGAUCAUUUCUGGAUAUUUGAGGAAGAAGAAACUCGAGCAAAACCCAACUAAAAGAGAGAAAACCUGAGCUGCUACCUGGAAAUCCUGAAAAACAAUGUCUCCCGACCCCUUGAGAGAAAUAUGGAUAGAACUUGAGGUACAGGGCACGAACAUUAGUGAAAAAGAAUGGAAAAUUUCAAGGAAAGAGUGGAGAAUAUCAUAGGAAAAAGAAGCACCCAAAAUGGAGCUGUAACAAAGGAGACAAAGCUCAAAAACUGCGACCCAUCUGCAAAGGUUGCGGAAGAGAACACGUUCAGCACUGAGCCGUAGUUUUUGAGGUAAAAUGAUCCGAUUUCAUCACCGUUUUGACUGGGGUUUUUCCUUUCAUAACCAUUAAUCGUUUGUGAAGAAUUUAAUGAAAGAAUCACCUAAAAAGUGCUCUAACGAGGGAGAAAAGUGCAAAUUACAAAAGGUGCUCGAAGUAGAAACUGCAGGUGAGCAUGUCCCACUUUGAUAAAUUUUGUGAGUUACUUUCUCCAUAGUUUUUAGUGCUUCUUUUUGGGUUAGUUUCAUGAAACAUUAGGCAAGAAAUGUAGCAAAUUAUAGGGAAAGAAAUGAACAAAAAUGGUCUAGAUUUGGGUGAGAAAAUGGACCCAAAAGUCAGUACGUAAAAUUGAUGAGAAACUACAGCUUUUGUAGGUUGAAGAAAUCUGAAAUUUUGGGCAUUUUUUUAGGUACUGAAAUGGAGAAAAUGAUUCAGGCUAAAAUUUUGGAUUUAGAACGGAACCGUACCAUGGUCGACGUAAGAAUAGUAGUAAUCCUUCGAACACUUGUAAUGGCUUUUCUAGAUGCAUCUAAAGGGUAAGUUUUCUGCAAAAUCAUCGAAGAGUUUUAAAUGAAAAUAGAAGUGUGUGUCAUGCGAGCUUUCUGUAGUUAAAUUAUGUUUUUAUUUGAUGUUUUGAUGUUGGGUGUUGUUAUUGAUGUUUGGAAAAUGGAAUUGAAUGUUUUACAUAAUCAAAAUUGGAAGAAAUUAGAGAAUAAUUGUUAGAAAUAAAUAAUUAAAAAGGGAAUUUUGAAGAAAAUGGGCAAAUGAAAUAUAACUAAUUGGUAAAAAAAAAAAGUGGGCAAAAUAGCACUAAAUGAAAAUUAAAUAGAAAGAAAUUAGAGGAAGAAAUAAAUUGGGAGAUUAUAGAAAAAAAAUUAAGGAUACCAAUGGGAUAAAUAAAAUAAUUAGUAUUAGAAAAUUUAAAUAGGAAAUUCAGAUUAAAAUUAAAUUGAGUUUAAAAUAUAGUAAAAUAGGAAUUAAAUAUUAAUAGCUUAAAAUAGGAUAAAAUAUAUAAAUAAAUUUAGAAUUAAUUAAAGAGGAUUUUUUUUUUUGUUUGUUUUUUUGAUGCAUGAAAUAAUUGUAUUGGUUACUAAUUGAAAUGAAAUGGUUAUAAUUGUUAAUGGUUAAAAGGAAGUGUAUGAAGGUAAAAUUGGUCAAAGGGAGGGACAGGUAAGAAUAGGAAAAGAAACUGAGAAGGGAGUGGGGAACACGGAGAGUUAGGGGGAUUAGGUCUAGUUUAGGGUGUUGUCUAAAAAGAAAACUAAUGAUGUCUUUAAUAAAACUUAAUUUACCAAGUAGUCAUGUUAAAUCUAUUUCAUCUGAUUUUUUAGAGGGGUAUAAUUCUGUUGUGUCAAUUGUAUUGUUAGGGAGCCAUUAGAAGUAUGAGUGUUGGUUAUUGGUUCUAGGUUAAAAUCGAUGUUCAAUGUCCCUAGGUCAACUGGACUAUUAGAUUCAUGCUCUCGGGCAGGAGAUGAAUCAAUGUCAACUCGAGUAAAAUUGUGGGAUGGCAACCAAAGAGAAAGAGCGAUUGCAUGAUUUUACGAGUUAUAUAUAAUGUUAUUGAUUGGAUUAAUUGAUUUAUGCACUCACUCAUAACUUUAGUUGGUGUCACGAUUGCCCUCCAUGGAAAAAGGUAUAAAUGGUUGCGUGCGUAGGAUUGGAAAUGUAAACCUAAUUAAAGAUAUAAAGCAAUACUAAAAGAUUUAAAAAGAAGAAGAAUCAGAGUCAGUUCUGGGUGUGUGUGUUAGAAGAUUGCAUGUGAUGUGAUUGAUUGGUUUGAAAUGAUAUGAUUUAUGGAAAUAUUAAAAUCGUUAUUGUUAAAGGAAUGAGUAUGGAAUUCAUAAUUGGGAACUGUAUGACAUUUAUAAUAUUAUUAAAAAAGAUUUUAAGAGGAUUGUAUUAUUUUCAUUAUAAUUUUUUUUUUACUAAAUGCAUUAAAAGGGACUUCAAAACGUUAUUUGUGGCAUACAAAUAUUAUUAUGCUUACUGAGUUACUAGAACUCAUCCCAAUCUAAAAUCUUUUUUUGAGGUUAGUAAACCAUGAUAAUGUUAGGAGCUAGUGAGGAGAACUCUCUAAUUUUUGGUUAAAAUUUAUUCGGCAGGUAAGAAUUUAAUUUAAGUGUUGUUUCAUUUUAAGGGAUGUUUAUUACAUGUAGAUUUGUUGCAUUUGAUAAUGUCUUCUUGGUCACUUUGUUGUGAUAUGAACGACUAACAUCUUGUCCUCUGGUAUUAGGGACGAGACGUCACACUAUUGUAGGUUAUUCAAAUUCGGAGACAAAUCUUUCUGAAGAAGGAAGAGAUGGUGUGACCAUGGAAGAGAAGUAUUCUUGCAAUAAAUGGGAGUUCCACAUGGGGGAACAUUCCUGCAGCCUAAACACCUGCGGAUAUAUAGUAGCAAGAGGCCAUAAAUGCUCACGCAAUAGCAUGCCUCAAGAGGGCGCUAGGAAGUUUCCAUGGACAAAGAUUUUUCUUAAGGACUUUCGCCAAGUCCACACCAAAGAGGCAAGUAAUUGCGGGUUUGCUUCAUUUCUUAAUUUGAUUCAUCCCAAAUAGGAAAGCAUCAAACACCUAUAAACAUUUUUUAAAACUGGGUUAUCAAUAAGGUAAGCCCAAAACAAGGCAAGGGUGCAAGCGUGAGGCCCAUGAAGAGAUCCACAAGCUUAGAAAGUUAUAAUAGGAUAAAAAUCCAAGCCUUGGCCCAAGGCAAGGAAGGAUCAAGGCCUCAUGGCCAAGAAAGUUAUAAACCAAAAUUGUCACGCCAAAAGAUAGUAGGUCGGGCCAUGCUAUACCAUUUGGCAGCCUUUGCUCGCAAGCACAAGUGCACAUUUGUGCGGGAUAGACGGCCCGCACCUGCGAGUAGCUUGAACACGUGGGAGGGACAAGUCCACGCAGGUGAAACAUGUGGGUAGGAAGUUUGAACCCGAGAGGGACUCUUCCCUUUUCCUUUUUCACAUGUGUUUUGCAUGAUUAUAGAUAAAGGAGAAUUCUACUGUAAAUUAAAGUUAAAAAAGGAUAAAAAACACAUGAAAAAUUCGGCAAAGAGAAAGAAGAAUCCUACCAAGUAUUUAAUUAAUUAUUUUAUUUAAGUUCUAGAUUAAGAAAAAAUAUAUUUUAAUUAUUAUUAAUAUUUAGAUAUUAUUUAAGUAUUAUUUUAAUUCUAAAAUUGGGGUAAAAUAUUAGAUUUUAGGUAAAUUUUGGAUUAAAUUCAAGUUUUUGAGUUUGUAUAGAAUCUAUCUAGUGAAAGCCUAUAUAAAGGUCUCACCUUAGAUUGUAAUUUACAACUUUCAAGAAUUCAGAAAUAAACUUCAGUUUUGUUUUUUUCUAAAUUAGGAUUGCUAAUUUGAGAGUGAUUGUUCUUCAAAGAAGGUUGCUUCAACCAUCUUGUUGAGUCGGAAAAAUCUGAAUUGACUUAUCUUGUAAGCUGUUGUGUCUUUUUUAUUCUUUACUUUAAUUCUAAGUUACCUUAGUUUGCAUUCAAAUUGCUAAAUGUGGUUUAAGUAGGGAAGGUUUAUUAGGAAAUUAAGUUUUUGCAUGUUAGUGUAGAUGUGGAUUUAUGAUCAAGGUGUUUUGAUCAUAGAGCUCCUCAUAUCGACUUGUGUUCUUUCAAACAUUAUAGUUUAUCUAUUAAGUUGCCAAGCUCAUCUAUCACUAGUUUUUCUUUAAACACUAUAACUUAUUUAUAAAGGUGCCUAGCUCACUUAUCACUCAUUUUUUCCUCAAACAAUGUAACUUAUCUGUCAAGGUGCCUAGCUCACUUUUUAUUAAUGUUUCAUUAAAUACUAUAAUUUGAUAUUAAAAUGUUAAGCUCACAUUUAACUUGCAUUCAUCCAAC
Molecule: long non-coding RNA, 4177 nt
Filed under: Carica papaya (papaya)
Lineage: Eukaryota; Viridiplantae; Streptophyta; Magnoliopsida; Brassicales; Caricaceae
Description: long non-coding RNA (CPAP_LNC008277)
Source: RNAcentral